This 317-nucleotide long non-coding RNA is filed under the name Mytilus galloprovincialis (Mediterranean mussel). Lineage: Eukaryota; Metazoa; Mollusca; Bivalvia; Mytilida; Mytilidae. The record is from RNAcentral.
UGUUUUUUAAUUAUUUUUUUUUUUCUGCCUAAAUUUGUUUCUUGCGUAGUAUUGUUGUUUAAUAAGUUGUCGCUUAGAUAUUUGGAAUAUGAUUAUUGUUUAGUUUAUACGCUUUAAAAAUUUACAACCGCGUAACAAAAUACUUUACGUUGUAAGAGUUAUCUCCCCAAACACUGUUUUUCUUGUGGCCACUACUCCUUCGCAACCGUUUAAGAUUACGACAAAUUUAUUUUACCAAAUUGCUCGUUACAUCUUCAGGAUUAGGAUAUUCAUUUGGACCGAAGCUUUACGGAGACUCCAUAUGAGAGUUAUCCCCC